UACGGGGGGGGCAAGCGUUGUUCGGAAUUACUGGGCGUAAAGGGCGCGUAGGCGGCGCAACAAGUCACUUGUGAAAUCUCCGGGCUUAACUCGGAAAGGUCAAGCGAUACUGUUGUGCUAGAGUGCGGAAGGGGCAACUGGAAUUCUCGGUGUAGCGGUGAAAUGCGUAGAUAUCGAGAGGAACACCUGCGGCGAAGGCGGGUUGCUGGGCCGACACUGACGCUGAUGCGCGAAAGCCAGGGGAGCGAACGGG
RNAcentral lists this ribosomal RNA (253 nucleotides) under uncultured bacterium. Its description in RNAcentral is "partial 16S ribosomal RNA". It matches the Rfam family "Bacterial small subunit ribosomal RNA", at positions 524 to 776 of the family's 1533-position model. The record is from RNAcentral.